GACGAACGCUGGCGGCGUGCUUAACACAUGCAAGUCGAACGGAAAGGCCCUGCUUUUGUGGGGUGCUCGAGUGGCGAACGGGUGAGUAACACGUGAGUAACCUGCCCUUGACUUUGGGAUAACUUCAGGAAACUGGGGCUAAUACCGGAUAGGAGCUCCUGCUGCAUGGUGGGGGUUGGAAAGUUUCGGCGGUUGGGGAUGGACUCGCGGCUUAUCAGCUUGUUGGUGGGGUAGUGGCUUACCAAGGCUUUGAAGGGUAGCCGGCCUGAGAGGGUGACCGGCCACAUUGGGACUGAGAUACGGCCCAGACGCAUACGGGAGGCAGCAGUGGGGAAUAUUGCACAAUGGGCGGAAGCCUGAUGCAGCAACGCCGCGUGCGGGAUGACGGCCUUCGGGUUGUAAACCGCUUUCGCCUGUGACGAAGCGUGAGUGACGGUAAUGGGUAAAGAAGCACCGGCUAACUACGU
This 467-nucleotide ribosomal RNA is filed under the name uncultured bacterium. RNAcentral describes it as "partial 16S ribosomal RNA". It matches the Rfam family "Bacterial small subunit ribosomal RNA", at positions 28 to 506 of the family's 1533-position model. The record is from RNAcentral.